Molecule: long non-coding RNA, 1138 nt
Filed under: Ovis aries (sheep)
Lineage: Eukaryota; Metazoa; Chordata; Mammalia; Artiodactyla; Bovidae
Description: lncRNA (ENSOARG00000026262.1)
Source: RNAcentral
CUUUAUUCAUCUUCGAGAAGAAGAAAAAAAUCAUCCUUCUUCAAAGUGUUACAAUGAAAAUGGCUAAACAUCUCAAGGUGGUGGUCAGAAGCUUAAAUUAUGACUUGUGGAAAUACUAGAACUUAGGGGGGGUGGGCAUUUCUGAAAGACUGUCAGGACCAAUUUGCAGGAAUUCACAAACUUGCAUGAGAAACCAUGGUCUGGCAGAUUUUGCUGAGCCAGGAAGUUACUGUUGGUCUACACAGAAAAUCUGUAAUCAUGUGAUGAUGCAACAGUGCAUCCAUGUUCUUUAGGUGGAACAUGAUCUCCUGGAAUGGAAUAGCUAAAGCAGGGACUUUCAGAUCGCUUGCUCAGCAACAGCUCACGUGUUCCUUAAAAUCUAAAUCCUCGUAUUCACUUCCGACAGUUCAAAUUAUUUGUCACAUGUUGUUCCUGUAAGAAAAUAGUUUGAGAGAGAUGAAAAGGAAACUUGGAUGUGAAAGAAAGAAUGAAAAGGAACAAAGAUGGAUAGCUAAGCAGAGGAACAGAAAAAACUUUAAUACCUUUCACAUUAAUUGUUUCAUUUUUCUACUAGUACUGGUCCACAAACUUGCUGAAUUAUCUUUAUGCUAUGAAUCAGCAUUCUUAGUCUUCUUUAUGAAUCGCUUCAUUAUACAAUUCUCCAUUUGUUCAUUUUAUUGUCUUCUAGUUCAAUUAACUAUGUGAUAAUGUCUACUUCUUGCAAUCAACUAUUCUUGGCAUUAUGGGAAUAAAAUUUUCUGUUAAAAUAUGUCUUUGUCUUAAGGAGUUUAAUAUUUAGUGGAAGGAACCAAACAUAACUAACUCAAAUGUCAUACAGAAUUAUAAAAACUCUAAACAGAAAUACAAGAAACAUACUGCAAAAAUAUGAAAGUAAGAUGUACUUAUUUUGCCUGAGGAAGCCAGAGAAAUUUCAUCUAUGAAGCUGUCUUGAUGACUAAAAAGGGCUUAGUUAGCUAAGGAUCACUGAGAGCAUAGAUGAACAAGGUCAGGUAAAACAAAAUCGAAAAGAAUCACCAGGAAUAAUUGGGAUCUAAUGUACCAGCUAAUUCUGAAAAUGUACCUUGAGGGCAUUUUCCCCCAUGCAGGAGUUAUUCAGUUUCCCUUUCAUUUCCUUUUG